RNAcentral lists this transfer RNA (63 nucleotides) under Heterocephalus glaber (naked mole-rat). It matches the Rfam family "tRNA", at positions 1 to 62 of the family's 71-position model. From Rfam's summary of the family: Transfer RNA (tRNA) molecules are approximately 80 nucleotides in length. Their secondary structure includes four short double-helical elements and three loops (D, anti-codon, and T loops). Lineage: Eukaryota; Metazoa; Chordata; Mammalia; Rodentia; Bathyergidae. The record is from Rfam by way of RNAcentral.
GGGGAUGUAGCUCAGUAGUAGAGUGCUUGUCUAGCAUGCACGAAGCUCUGGGUUCCAUCCCCA